GCCUACGGGGCGCAGCAGUGAGGAAUAUUGGUCAAUGGGAGAGAUCCUGAACCAGCCAAACCGCGUGAGGGAAGACGGCCCUAUGGGUUGUAAACCUCUUUUGUCGGAGAACAAAACCCGGGACGUGUCCCGGACUGCGUGUAUCCGAAGAAAAAGCAUCGGCUAACUCCGUGCCAGCAGCCGCGGUAAUACGGAGGAUGCGAGCGUUAUCCGGAUUUAUUGGGUUUAAAGGGUGCGUAGGCGGUCCGUUAAGUCAGCGGUAAAAUUGCGGGGCUCAACCCCGUCGAGCCGUUGAAACUGGCAGA
RNAcentral lists this ribosomal RNA (305 nucleotides) under uncultured bacterium. RNAcentral's name for it is "bacterial SSU rRNA". It matches the Rfam family "Bacterial small subunit ribosomal RNA", at positions 337 to 640 of the family's 1533-position model. The record is from RNAcentral.